UGAUGGUUCGCUCUGGGUGUUAGCAG
RNAcentral lists this non-coding RNA (26 nucleotides) under Rattus norvegicus (Norway rat). The record is from RNAcentral. Lineage: Eukaryota; Metazoa; Chordata; Mammalia; Rodentia; Muridae.